UGUAGCUCAGUGGUAGAGCACUUGCCUAGCAUGCAAAAAGCCUUGGUUUCAAUCUCCAGCA
Molecule: transfer RNA, 61 nt
Filed under: Heterocephalus glaber (naked mole-rat)
Lineage: Eukaryota; Metazoa; Chordata; Mammalia; Rodentia; Bathyergidae
Rfam family: tRNA
About the family: Transfer RNA (tRNA) molecules are approximately 80 nucleotides in length. Their secondary structure includes four short double-helical elements and three loops (D, anti-codon, and T loops).
Source: Rfam by way of RNAcentral